UCCUUCCCACUAUUCUUUCCCUUCACAGCACCUACUGCAACUUGUAAGGACAUCUUUAUUUGGAUGUUUACACUUUUAACAGCUGUCUCUCUUGCUGGCUGAGAAGCUCCAACAUAGGACCAACCUAGCUGGGCCCUGGAAGGUGAGGAAUGGGAGGAAAAAUGUGAAGUCACAGCUCCCUUGUGCCCAGCCACCCUGGGCUACCCUCGUCCCCAGGCUCCUCCAGAUGGCAGUGCCCAGGGCAGUGGGGAGGGUUCCAGGGCCUGUGUCUUCCCAUUCUUCGUCCUCUCCCUUCAUCCCUUAUCAUUUCCACAGCAAGGACAAGGGUCUAUGCUGGACACAGAGAAAGGCCUGGGGACUACUGGCCUCUGACCCUACCCAGCAAGGCCCUACCGUGCUCAGGGGACAAUUUCAUUCUCUCUGCCUCCACCACAAAGUCAUAGGGCAGGCCUGUCUAAAAAGCCCCAAUGCACACAGACAUGCAUGCACGCAAAACAGCUCUAGAAGGGAAAAACUUUUUUAACGUCUCUGCCAUUUUAGUGUCAUGUUACUGAAACUGCCCUUCCCCAGUCGCUCAGUUCAGAGCCUUCUCUGUGGAGUCUUUAAACAAGUGUUUCAGGGUCCUCAACAGCAGUAAGAUAGGACCCCUCUCAGAGUUCAGCUUGUUCCUAUUUCCGUCUCUUCUCACUCAGGAGUGUCCAUCAUGUUUCCUACUGAUUGACAGUUUCAGGCUGACCCAACAUGGGUAGAAACAAGAGCACCUGCCAUUUUCAAGAGAGGCAAACAGGCUUCACCCAGGAUACCUGGGGCUUUGGGGGUCUUCCAAGAAUCCCUGUCCAUCUGGAGAGCUCCUCCUUCCAGACUGGCUCUCUCUCACUUGCAGUCCCUCCUUCUCAGCUCAGGACUCUAUUGGCUGGCCCCAGGCUCUGGCCAUAGCAGUCCCUAGGGCACCAGAAGAG
Long non-coding RNA from Sapajus apella (tufted capuchin), 959 nucleotides. RefSeq lists it as uncharacterized. NCBI's taxonomy places the organism in Eukaryota, Metazoa, Chordata, Mammalia, Primates, Cebidae. The transcript is spliced from 2 exons. The record is from RefSeq and is a predicted model, not a curated record.